CCUACGGGUGGCAGCAGUGAGGAAUAUUGGGCAAUGGGGGCAACCCUGACCCAGCCAUGCCGCGUGAGUGAAGAAGGUCUUCGGAUUGUAAAGCUCUUUCGGACGUGACGAUGAUGACGGUAGCGUCUAAAGAAGCACCGGCAAACUUCGUGCCAGCAGCCGCGGUAAUACGAAGGGUGCGAGCGUUGUUCGGAAUUACUGGGCGUAAAGGGAGUGUAGGCGGAUAUGUAAGAUAGCGGUGAAAUGCCGGGGCUCAACCCCGGAACUGCCAUUAUGACUAUGUAUCUAGAGUAAUGGAGAGGAUAGCGGAAUACCCAGUGUAGAGGUGAAAUUCGUAGAUAUUGGGUAGAACACCGGUGGCGAAGGCGGCUAUCUGGCCAUUUACUGACGCUGAGGCUCGAAAGCAUGGGGAUCAAACAGGAUUAGAUACCCUAGUAGUC
RNAcentral lists this ribosomal RNA (440 nucleotides) under uncultured bacterium. Its description in RNAcentral is "partial 16S ribosomal RNA". It matches the Rfam family "Bacterial small subunit ribosomal RNA", at positions 338 to 795 of the family's 1533-position model. The record is from RNAcentral.